Oryza sativa Japonica Group (Japanese rice) is the source of this 205-nucleotide microRNA precursor. It matches the Rfam family "MIR812 microRNA precursor family". The record is from Rfam. NCBI's taxonomy places the organism in Eukaryota, Viridiplantae, Streptophyta, Magnoliopsida, Poales, Poaceae.
AAUGUUUGACGCCAUUGACUUUUUUAAACAUGUUUGACCGUUCGUCUUAUUCAAAAAAUUUAAGCAAUUAUUAAUUCUUUUCCUACCAUUUGAUUCAUUGUUAAAUAUAUUUUUAUGUAUACAUAUAAUUUUACAUAUUUCACAAAAGUUUUUUAAUAAGACGAACGGUCAAACAUGUUUAAAAUAGUCAACGGCGUCAAAUAUU